AUGGGUCUAUUAUGAAGUUGGAUAUUUUCAGUCCAUUCUAUCAGCUGGAGGACAAUUCAAAUAUAUUUUAUACAGACCAGCUGACAAUCAGCUAAAAAUUCUAAAUAAAUAUUGCCAUAGUGGAUUUACCAGCUAAAUGUAGACCUGCUCUACAACUCAGAUGAGACAAAAAUGGCAGGCCAGAAUGUCUUUCCAGAAAGGGACUAGAUGGAAGCUAUGUUAGAGUUUCUGAAUACUCAGAGUUGAAGAAUUUCCAAAUGAAGACUCUCCGAGCCCCUGCUCCUCUAGGGGCCUCGGCCCUGGAAUGCUUUCUCGAGAUAGUUGCUUCACUGUCACCAGCCAGGAAUCGACUGAAAUGAAACUUCGAGACCUUCGUUGACCUCCAAGCUAAGGCACCCCUUUUUUUCAUAUCCCCGUUUUCAUCAUGGCAGUUUUCACUAUGCGCUCCUUUCUUUUUUAUUUGUGUGUUGGUUUUAUGGCUUAUCUAAAUAAACUUUAAGCCCCAUGAAAGCAUGAAUGAUAUCUGUCCUUCCCAUUCCAUGCCCAGCACAGAGAAAACACUCUAUAUACUUUGUGGGGUGAAUAAAUAAACUAAUAUAUGACUGAG
This is a long non-coding RNA of Pteropus alecto (black flying fox), 607 nucleotides long. RefSeq lists it as uncharacterized. The record is from RefSeq and is a predicted model, not a curated record. NCBI's taxonomy places the organism in Eukaryota, Metazoa, Chordata, Mammalia, Chiroptera, Pteropodidae. The transcript is spliced from 2 exons.